RNAcentral lists this ribosomal RNA (504 nucleotides) under uncultured bacterium. RNAcentral's name for it is "partial 16S ribosomal RNA". It matches the Rfam family "Bacterial small subunit ribosomal RNA", at positions 30 to 523 of the family's 1533-position model. The record is from RNAcentral.
AUUGAACGCUGGCGGCAGGCCUAACACAUGCAAGUCGGACGGUAGCACAGAGAGCUUGCUCUUGGGUGACGAGUGGCGGACGGAUGAGUAAUGUCUGGGGAUCUGCCCGAUAGAGGGGGAUAACCACUGGAAACGGUGGCUAAUACCGCAUAACGUCGCAAGACCAAAGAGGGGGACCUUCGGGCCUCUCACUAUCGGAUGAACCCAGAUGGGAUUAGCUAGUAGGCGGGGUAAUGGCCCACCUAGGCGACGAUCCCUAGCUGGUCUGAGAGGAUGACCAGCCACACUGGAACUGAGACACGGUCCAGACUCCUACGGGAGGCAGCAGUGGGGAAUAUUGCACAAUGGGCGCAAGCCUGAUGCAGCCAUGCCGCGUGUAUGAAGAAGGCCUUCGGGUUGUAAAGUACUUUCAGCGGGGAGGAAGGCGGUGAGGUUAAUAACCUCACCGAUUGACGUUACUCGCAGAAUAAGCACCGGCUAACUCUGUGCCAGCAGCCGCGGUAA